UAGCACUCGGUUUCAACUAAAACUACUUUACGCACGCCUGACUUCGGGACUAAGCUGGUGAAUACGUGACGAGAGCGUUACGAAAAGUGUGAUUGGGCGAGACGAACGGAGCAAGAGAGAAAGAGACUCAUUAUUGCGGCCCAAUGCUCUUCGUAUAACCGAGGGGACAUCUUAAGAAGUUUGUAAACAGUGAUUUUUUUUUCGAUCUCUUCAAAGCGACGCUUAAAAGAAAUUGCUUGUCUUGUUUUUAAUUUUUUUUUUUGCUUUUUAUUUGCGUACCUGUUAGUUUUAAUUUUUACAUACUACAUUUUUAAGGUAAGUUUUAUGGGAAUAAACACAAGACUUGGACUUUUAAUAAAUUUUGUUGGAAAUUCCUUUGUUUAUAAAGUUUUAAUUGCUUUUAAUGACUUUGUUAUAACUUUCUAUGUUCUUCUUUUCAUCUUCCAGAUAUAAUUUUGACAAGUAUUAAUCAUAGACGUACAAAAUUUUCGCUUUUAUUAUAAAUUAUAAACUAGAAGCGGACGAUUGUGAGACAAUUUUUUAAUACAUAUAUGAAUAAAGGACGAAAAACAUAAUAGAUAUCUCAGAGUUUUUAAUGCUAAUUAAUUUAUAAUAAACUAGCUACCCGGACAGACUUCGUUCUGUCAAAAGUUAACCGUGUUCCGGGAACAUACAAAAUAAAUUAGC
This 687-nucleotide unclassified non-coding RNA is filed under the name Melitaea cinxia (Glanville fritillary). RNAcentral describes it as "misc RNA ENSMCXG00005012583.1". Lineage: Eukaryota; Metazoa; Arthropoda; Insecta; Lepidoptera; Nymphalidae. The record is from RNAcentral.